This is a long non-coding RNA of Anopheles arabiensis, 2368 nucleotides long. RefSeq lists it as uncharacterized. Lineage: Eukaryota; Metazoa; Arthropoda; Insecta; Diptera; Culicidae. The record is from RefSeq and is a predicted model, not a curated record. The transcript has 3 exons.
GUUGCCUGCCGAACAGAUCGCAACUUUUUUCCAGCGCCGGUCGCGCACGAUUUUCCCCCCUGAAUUUUCCGCGAACGUGCGCGGGAAACUCCACGUGUGUGUGUGUGUUGUUUGUGUGUUAAAAGCGAUGCAGCGAUGUGUGUGAAACGUGUUCGAGGUUUAGUUAACAGUGCCUGUAGGUGCGUUCGAAAUUAACCUGAUAGAACAACAAGCAAACACAUUAGCAGAUAGAAAAGCCCGUGCGUGUGUGUGUGUGUGCGCGCGCGUUACAGCAGAAUCUAAAGCGGCCCACACCGAAAAAGGGGCUUUGUGAAACAUCCUAACAGCACACGAAGAACAAAUUGCACACUACACCUUCUCACACAAACAGACAAAAAAACACUCAGUGUGGGAAGGUGGAAAUGUGCCCCCCCCCCAGAAACAGGAAAACAGGAGAACAGGGAAAAUGUUUCAGGGCAUUAGUGUCGUCCUGGGUGGCACCUAACUCGCACGCCCGCCUUUCUUCGCAGUGCGCUCGCACCGUACAGGCCAUUCAUCUCACCGGCGAGGGCCACGCUGGAGCCGACGUUGCGCGCGAUCGCUGGCGGGGUGUGGCGGAUGCAGCAGCAGAGCUGCUGCAGCCCGGGCACACCGUGCAGCACCAGGAUGAAGCCGCUGCGGAACCGGGCGUUCAUGUAGCAGUAGAUGAUCGGGUUGUAGCAGCUGUGCGACAUCGCGAGCCAGUGGAAGGCGAACCAGAAGUACGGCAGCAGGUCCCACGAGGACGGGAGCUUCAUCAGCUGCGGGCGAGAAGAGACAGAGAGGUGUAAUGCUGCAAUGGCGAGCCGGAAACGGAAACGGUUCCUCUCCUUACCAUUAGGAAGUUGAACGGCAGCCAGCAGAUGGUGAACACGAUUACCACGGUCACCAUCAUCUUGAUCAUCUGGAACGGGAAGAAAUCAACACCGAGGAUGAAAAUUGGUUGUGGAAAGCUCCCGACUAGCGAAGCGCACCACACUGGAACCGGCCAACGAACAGCCAAAGGGUUUCGCUUAUAGGAAUCGUGCUGGAAAAUGGACUGGAACCUGUCGGCCAUCCAGGUGUCCCGAACAAAAUCCGACUAUCGCCGAAGAAAAACAUUCAAACUUACUGGUUGCUACCGAUCGCUGGGUACUGGGCUCUGUUGUUUUAGGUUUAAGGGGCCCGUAAAGGGACCGUUUUGCACACCCUGUGUGUGUGUGUGUCUAGCGCUUUCGUUUAGCAGUAAUUUACUUGCGCCAUUUAAUUCGCGCUUUCCGAGCUUUGCGCUUUAAAUCUUUGGCUCCGAUAACGCGGCUGUUUUUUUUAGCUUCAAAAAUUUCCAUGCAAGCAAGUGACAGAGAAAGAGAGAGGAAGGAAAAUUGUCAGGCGGCACGAUGGUGUAAUUUAUGCUCUCGUCAGUGGGAUGGUUUUUUUGUGUGCGUGUGUGUGGUGUGCCCUAUUUCCCUCAUUCUUUAUUCAUAAUAUCAAACGGUUUGCUGUACCGUCCGAAUAUUCGCAGCAAAAGUUUUGCGGUGCCUCAGUACUCCCACAACAACUGUGUGUGUUUGUGUGUGUGUGUUUGACGGUACAUCCAGCAGCACCGCUUCCCUCCGGUGCAGGCUAAUGAAAAUAUUGUGUAAAUACUUUUUACACGACAGGCAAAAAGCGACCGACCGGGCGGAUACGGCGUUCCGGUUUGGAAUGCAGAAGGUUUUUUUUUAUUCCUAUUACACAGUGGAUUUGUACGGACUGGUGUCUGUCUCGGCUUACCGGAAUGGAAGGCAAAAAGCGCACACCCCAAAACGUACAGUGGGCGCCUCUGUGUGUUUUUUUCCUCUCCUUUUUACAGGCGUUUUUACAAGUGACAGUGUAGUACCAACUGCUCCGGCGUCUUGACAAAGCUCCAAGUGAAGCUUACUGAUAAUGAUAAGUAGAUCGUUCGCUCAAACCCACUUGUUGAAGUUUUUUUUUUUUUUUUUUUUUUUUGGGAUUCUGAUCCGCUUUGAGCGUUGGAGUGAAGUUUUGACGACUUCUUCGUACCGAAUAGGCAAACGAGGCUUUCUCGAAUUAAUUAUUACAGAGGAUAGAGAGAGAGAGAGAACCAAAACAAAAAAAGGUUUUACCUUUUAAUCUGACGUAUUAAGUGACGAACGCUUGCUUUGGUAGGCGACACUUUCGGUUUGUUUGCUUUCGCUCCUCAUUAAUUAAGUAACAAAUUAUACGCUAAACAAUAUUACUACACGGGGCGCCUUUUUUCAAUUGCAGUGGUAUGGAGUUGGGGGCUUUUUCGCCCUAUAGUCAGGCUCCCCGCUUAUGGAAAUCCCUCUGAGUCUAGUAUCGUAAUUACAGCUUCGAAGGUUCUAUGUAA